This 446-nucleotide ribosomal RNA is filed under the name uncultured bacterium. Its description in RNAcentral is "partial 16S ribosomal RNA". It matches the Rfam family "Bacterial small subunit ribosomal RNA", at positions 338 to 795 of the family's 1533-position model. The record is from RNAcentral.
CCUACGGGAGGCAGCAGUCGAGAAUCAUUCACAAUGGGGGAAACCCUGAUGGUGCGACGCCGCGUGGGGGAAUGAAGGUCUUCGUAUUGUAAACCCCUGUCAUCUGGGAGCAAAUUAAGAAGAUAGUACCACAAGGGGAAGAGCCGGCUAACUCGGUGCCAGCAGCCGCGUUAAUACAGAGGUCUCAAGCGUUGUUCGGAGUUACUGGGCGUAAGGGGUUCGUAGGCUGGUUGGUAAGUCGUGUGUGAAAGGCGCGGGCUCAACCCGCGGACGGCACAUGAUACUGGGAGACUAGAGUAAUGGAGGGGGAAGCGGAAUUCGCGGUGUAGCAGUGAAAUGCGUAGAUAUCGAGAGGAACACUCGUGGCGAAGGCGGGUUCCUGGACAUUAACUGACGCUGAGGCACGAAGGCCAGGGGAGCGAAAGGGAUUAGAUACCCGAGUAGUC